UACAGAGGGUGCAAGCGUUAAUCGGAAUUACUGGGCGUAAAGCGUGCGCAGACGGUUGCGUAAGUCAGAUGUGAAAGCCCCGGGCUCAACCUGGGAAUUGCAUUUGAGACUGCGUAGCUAGGGUGCGGAAGAGGGAAGCGGAAUUUCCGGUGUAGCGGUGAAAUGCGUAGAUAUCGGGAAGGAACACCAGUGGCGAAGGCGGCUCACUGGCCCGAUACUGACGCUGAGGUGCGAAAGCGUGGGGAGCAAACAGG
This 254-nucleotide ribosomal RNA is filed under the name uncultured bacterium. RNAcentral's name for it is "partial 16S ribosomal RNA". It matches the Rfam family "Bacterial small subunit ribosomal RNA", at positions 524 to 776 of the family's 1533-position model. The record is from RNAcentral.